RNAcentral lists this long non-coding RNA (736 nucleotides) under Brassica napus (rape). RNAcentral's name for it is "long non-coding RNA (BNAP_LNC003383)". Lineage: Eukaryota; Viridiplantae; Streptophyta; Magnoliopsida; Brassicales; Brassicaceae. The record is from RNAcentral.
ACUGCUUCCUCAGGAUAAUCAGCUUGGUUGAAAAGUGGAAUCGUUCUGAAGGGACACCACAGGUAAAGAGUCCUACUAAGUUGUGUCUUGGUAGACCUUUUGACCAUAUUUGCUAGUUGCAACAAUAAGCAUUAGGAGUUAAGAUAGUUCAGACCACCUUUAUCUCAGAUCUCAUUGCAAAAAAACUAUUAUGUGUUCCUCGAAUAUAUAAACAACAAAUAACUCGAAAAUUUAAAUCUGGAUAGGUUGCUUAUACAUUUGAUGCUGGCCCAAAUGCUGUACUGAUUGCACGCAACAGAAAGGUAGCAGUUCAAUUGCUCCAGGGGCUUCUCUACUAUUUUCCCCCUAAGUCUGACACUGAUAUGAAGAGGUGAGAGAUAGAAACUUUGUAAUACUUUUAACGAGUUUAACAUAUAUGACUAAAAAGCUGAUUGUAAUGAUUUGAGUUUCUUUGUUUACCAGUUACGUAGUGGGAGAUAACUCGAUUCUUAAGGAGGCAGGGUUAGACGGAGCAAACAGUGUAGAGAAUCUGCAACCUCCACCUGAAAUCAAAGACAACAUUGGGUCACAGGAUCAAAAAGGAGAAGUCAGUUAUUUUAUCUGCACUAAACCUGGAAGAGGUCCUGUCGUGCUUCCAGACCAAACUCAGGCUCUUCUCGAUCCGCAAACCGGCCUUCCCAAGUGAGCAUUUUCUCUGCUUGAUCAAUUUAAUGUUAUGAUUUGCAGCAUCCUUUUU